RNAcentral lists this unclassified non-coding RNA (20 nucleotides) under Dictyostelium discoideum. Lineage: Eukaryota; Evosea; Eumycetozoa; Dictyosteliales; Dictyosteliaceae. The record is from RNAcentral.
AAGUACAGGUCUUAACAACA